UAGGAGCACACACACUCUUCUCUCUCACACACAAAGUUUUGUCAUAGGAUAGUUGGUCGCUGUGCUGAAAAUCUUCUAGAAUCUGUUCCUGACCUACGCUCCUAAGCACAGAUCUAGGAUCAGCUCAUCCUCAUCAAGUCCAAACCAGGACAUUAACAAACCACAAGGGGAACACUGACCUCAGACCAGCGUUUAAACCCCACGUCUUCCUGCCAAGACACUGACACUCUGUCCAGAAUUCCUCUGCUCUCCAGCCAUCCAUCCAUCCAUCCAGCCAUCCAUCCAUCCAGCCAUCCAUCCAUCCAUCCACACCCCAGCCAGCCAGCCAUGGGUCUGAUGAGUGAGGACAUGGAGUGCUGUGUCUGCCUCCAGCUCUACUCUCGCAGGGAGAAGAUCCCUCGGAUGCUCCACUGUAAGCACACAUUCUGUGGGUUGUGCUUGCAGGCGAUGUCCAGGCUCCAAAGCGGCCUACUGACAGUCUGCUGCCCCCUGUGCCGUUGGAUCACCUGCACCGAGCCCAGCCUCACCCUGCCGGGGUCGCUGUGGGUUAACACUGAGAUCUGGGACCAGAUACUAGACAGACAACAGGAAGAGGAGGAGGAGGAAGAGGAAGAAGAGUGGAAAGGAGCUAACAGACAGACACAGACCACUACACAGUACACAUGUUCUCCAUCAAGGCAUUUUGGCCUGAGGCUCAAACUACAGAAUUUCCUGAGGAGGAUGAAGCACAAUGUACUGUAAACCAAGAAGACGAAGAGCAGAGAAAGAAGACUGGAUUUUCCUAUUUCAGAGUAGGAUAUACUCAUUGAGUAAUGAAGCUAAUUCAUAAAAUAGGACCAACAGGGGAUGUUCCAUAAUGAAGCAAGAUUGAAUCAAUUAUUCAUAUGCUUUGUGUUUGAUUGACUUUGGGUAUGUGUAAUGUUCUCAGUCAACUUACCUGGUAAAAUAAGGGUUAUAUUAUAGUAUUAAUCAUAAAGGAUGGAUAGGUGGAGGAAAUAAAAAUAAGAUAAUAAAUGGAUUGAGGAAUAAAGAAAGAUAAAGGAAGUUAUGAAUAGACAGACAGACAGACAGAUAGAUAGAUAGGUGAAGGUUAGAGACUGUGUGCUGUACAAUGUGUGCUGUGUACAAUACAAUAUGCUGUGAACAAUGUUUAGAUAGAUAUUUACAUAUUUAUGCUUAUUUAUUUUCCCUUGUGUACUUUAACCAUUUGUACAUUGUUACAACACUGUACACUGUACACAUAUGUAUAAUAUGACAUUUGUAAUGUCUUUAUUGUUUUGAAACUUUUUAUUGGUUAUUUCACUUUUGUAUAUUAUCUACUUCACUUGCUUUGGCAAUGUUAACACAUGUUUCCCCUGCCAAUAAAGCCCCUUGAAUUGGAUAGAUAGGUAGAUAGAUAGAUAGAUGGGUGUAGGUUAGAGACUGUGUGCUGUACAAUGUGUGCUGUGUACAAUACAAUAUGCUGUGAACAAUGUUUAUAAUAGAUGUUUAAUGAUUUGAUAGAAGGUGUAUUACUGCGUGAAGGAAGUGAAGGUUUAGUAUUUAUUAUGACAUCAUUUUAGAACAGCUUCAAUGUUGCAGAUUGUUUCUUUUAUCAAUGUAAUUGUCUGCAUCAUUUCCAGUCCCCCAUCUGUUCUGUUUGAAGAGCAGGUUUUUUAUACUGGAAUUAUAUGUAUUGGUUAAUAAAUACAUCCACUUUAAAAUAACCCUGUCUUAGAGUUGUGAAAUUGCUUAUUGUUACCAUUACAUUAGGAGAGUAACUGUCUAAUAUCCACCUAGUUAUGGACCCCAAAUAGAGUUGGGGGUGUUAAUACACUUCAGAUUGUGUCUGAAAUGGACCCUAUUCAUUAUAGUAUACUACUUUUGACCAGGGCCCAGCUAGUACAGUUAUAGCAUACUACAUUUGACCAAGGCCAGGCAAGUACAGUAUAUAGUAUACUACUAUUGACCAGGGCCCAACUAGUAGAGCAUAUAGUAUACUUCU
Molecule: RNA transcript, 1984 nt
Organism: Oncorhynchus masou masou (cherry salmon)
Lineage: Eukaryota; Metazoa; Chordata; Actinopteri; Salmoniformes; Salmonidae
Gene name: E3 ubiquitin-protein ligase RNF186-like
Exons: 3
Source: RefSeq, a predicted model, not a curated record